Toxorhynchites rutilus septentrionalis is the source of this 962-nucleotide long non-coding RNA. RefSeq lists it as uncharacterized. The record is from RefSeq and is a predicted model, not a curated record. The transcript is spliced from 3 exons. NCBI's taxonomy places the organism in Eukaryota, Metazoa, Arthropoda, Insecta, Diptera, Culicidae.
CGGAAAAAUUUUACAAUCAUAAUUACACGUAUUUUUUUUAUCCAAAAUUUGACAUAAAACUAUUUGGCGAAAUACAGCUAUUUUGAAUAAAUGACAAACACGGUUAUUACAUAGUACACUGUUUGUCAAGUCGGAUAUUAUUUUUUGUGCGUCCGCUGUCAUUUUUCAAAGCAGAAAAUAUUUAUAAAUAAAAAUGUCUUCAACUGUGCAUCAUAUGGCGCUAUAGUAGUAGAUCUGGCCACUGCAGCUAUGAUAACUGAAGAAAAUAGACAAAAAAAAACAAAAACAGUCUUGUAACCGCAGUAUCUGGAUGACCAAGAUGUCAUGGAACGCUGUCGCAAUCAGGUGCGCAUCAAAAUCGCUAACUAUAUGAUGGUUGAAACAUCAGUCGGCUGCAUUGUGAUGAUCUUUUGGGUAAACAUGUCCAGGAGCGGGGCGAACCCGUCCAGAAAAUGAACUUUGACUGGUACAAGGAAUACAACGAGAAAUCUGCAAAGGAAGAGACUGCCGCGAAGAUUUAAGAAAGUGCUGGUGCCUUUCUUUCUUUUCCGAAGCCUUCAGCCAAGAUGUCAUGGAACGCUGUCGCAAUCAGGUGCGCAUCAAAAUCGCUAACUAUAUGAUGGUUAAAACAUCAGUCGGCUGCAUUGUGAUGAUCUUUUGGGUAAACAUGUCCAGGAGCGGGGCGAACCCGUCCAGAAAAUGAACUUUGACUGGUACAAGGAAUACAACGAGAAAUCUGCAAAGGAAGAGACUGCCGCGAAGAUUUAAGAAAGUGCUGGUGCCUUUCUUUCUUUUCCGAAGGUUUUUGUGAUUAAAUUAACGCCCUUUUUAGAAAGUGUUUCCUAAGUACUGACAGAGAGUUUUAAAAUGCUCGUGCCUGUUUUAUUAGUUUAUCGCAGGAUUAUAACAAAAAUAUAUUUUGUAAAAUGUCUGACAUUCGCAGUUAAUAAAACAGAAUAUAU